Molecule: ribosomal RNA, 680 nt
Filed under: uncultured bacterium
Lineage: Bacteria
Description: bacterial SSU rRNA
Rfam family: Bacterial small subunit ribosomal RNA
Source: RNAcentral
GGUCUUCGGAUGCUGACGAGUGGCGAACGGGUGAGUAAUACAUCGGAACGUGCCUAGUAGUGGGGGAUAACUACUCGAAAGAGUGGCUAAUACCGCAUGAGAUCUACGGAUGAAAGCAGGGGAUCGCAAGACCUUGUGCUACUAGAGCGGCCGAUGGCAGAUUAGGUAGUUGGUGGGAUAAAAGCUUACCAAGCCGACGAUCUGUAGCUGGUCUGAGAGGACGAUCAGCCACACUGGGACUGAGACACGGCCCAGACUCCUACGGGAGGCAGCAGUGGGGAAUUUUGGACAAUGGGCGCAAGCCUGAUCCAGCAAUGCCGCGUGCAGGAUGAAGGCCUUCGGGUUGUAAACUGCUUUUGUACGGAACGAAAAGCCCUGGGUUAAUACCCUGGGGUCAUGACGGUACCGUAAGAAUAAGCACCGGCUAACUACGUGCCAGCAGCCGCGGUAAUACGUAGGGUGCGAGCGUUAAUCGGAAUUACUGGGCGUAAAGCGUGCGCAGGCGGUUUUGUAAGACAGAGGUGAAAUCCCCGGGCUCAACCUGGGAACUGCCUUUGUGACUGCAAGGCUAGAGUACGGCAGAGGGGGAUGGGAUUCCGCGUGUAGCAGUGAAAUGCGUAGAUAUGCGGAGGAACACCGAUGGCGAAGGCAAUCCCCUGGGCCUGUACUGACGCUCAUGC